Molecule: ribosomal RNA, 254 nt
Filed under: uncultured bacterium
Lineage: Bacteria
Description: partial 16S ribosomal RNA
Rfam family: Bacterial small subunit ribosomal RNA
Source: RNAcentral
CACGUAGGGUGCGAGCGUUGUCCGGAAUUAUUGGACGUAAAGAGCUCGUAGGCGGUGUGUCGCGUCGGCCGUGAAAACUUGCAGCUUAACUGUGGGCGUGCGGUCGAUACGGGCAUCACUGGAGUUCGGCAGGGGAGACUGGAAUUCCUGGUGUAGCGGUGAAAUGCGCAGAUAUCAGGAGGAACACCGGUGGCGAAGGCGGGUCUCUGGGCCGAUACUGACGCUGAGGAGCGAAAGCGUGGGGAGCAAACAGG